UAUAUUAAAGUUGUUGCAGUUAAAAAGCUCGUAGUUGGAUUUCUGGUACAACGCGCCUGGCCCGCUUUUAGUGAGUGCCGGUGCGCGUUUGCCAUCCUUCUAGAUAACGUUUCUACCUGGGCAACCGGGCCGGACUCGCGAUCUAGAUCUUUUACUUUGAAAAAAUUAGAGUGUUUAAAGCAGGCUUUUGCUGUGAAUACAUUAGCAUGGAAUAAUAAUCUAGGACUUCGGUUCUAUUUUGUUGGUUUCUAGUACUGAAGUAAUGAUUGAUAGGGAUAGUUGGGGGUGCUAGUAUUGGCCGGCCAGAGGUGAAAUUCUUGGAUUCGGUCAAGACUAACAUAUGCGAAAGCAUUCACCAAGGAUGUCUUCUUUAAUCAAGAACGAAAGUUGGGGGAUCGAAGACGAUCAGAUACCGUCGUAGUCUCAACCAUAAACUAUGCCAACUAGGGAUGGGUGAACGUUGUUUUUCUGACUUCAUCUGCACCUUAUGAGAAAUCAAAGUCUUUGGGUUCCGGGGGGAGUAUGGUCGCAAGGCUGAAACUUAAAG
RNAcentral lists this ribosomal RNA (547 nucleotides) under uncultured Cercozoa. Its description in RNAcentral is "SSU rRNA". It matches the Rfam family "Eukaryotic small subunit ribosomal RNA", at positions 600 to 1149 of the family's 1831-position model. Lineage: Eukaryota; Cercozoa. The record is from RNAcentral.